This 253-nucleotide ribosomal RNA is filed under the name uncultured bacterium. RNAcentral's name for it is "partial 16S ribosomal RNA". It matches the Rfam family "Bacterial small subunit ribosomal RNA", at positions 524 to 776 of the family's 1533-position model. The record is from RNAcentral.
UACGUAGGGGGCAAGCGUUGUCCGGAUUUAUUGGGCGUAAAGAGCGUGUAGGCGGCCAUUCAGGUCAGCUGUGAAAACUCGAGGCUCAACCUCGAGACGUCGGUUGAAACCGUAUGGCUAGAGUCCGGAAGAGGAGAGUGGAAUUCCCGGUGUAGCGGUGAAAUGCGCAGAUAUCGGGAAGAACACCCGUGGCGAAGGCGGCUCCCUGGGACGGUACUGACGCUGAGACGCGAAAGCGUGGGGAGCGAACAGG